CUUUGCUUGUAGCCAUUAUUGCUGAACCAGUUGUUCUGAUGAUUUAUCCAGAAAGCCCUAAGUGUCCUUAUAAAUACCCACAUUGCUCCCCGACAGACACAAUGACAUGAUGGGAGUGGUGACACAAGGCUCUUACUGUUACAUUCAAUAAUUGAUUCUCCUGGAUGGAUUGUGACUCCCUAAAGGUUGCAAAGAGAGAAGCAGCGAUACAUGUUCUUCAGUUAUACAGAGAUGAAUGUUCAUUCCAUGUGCUGUUUUCAGCUGUGUACUUACACCAGUCCAAAAUCCCAAAGAGGAAAGUAAAAGCUGAGAUUCCCAUCAGUAGCAGAGAACAUCAGGUGAUGUUGAUUUAA
This 353-nucleotide long non-coding RNA is filed under the name Junco hyemalis (dark-eyed junco). Its description in RNAcentral is "lncRNA (ENSJHYG00000003500.1)". The record is from RNAcentral. Lineage: Eukaryota; Metazoa; Chordata; Aves; Passeriformes; Passerellidae.